This is a long non-coding RNA of Mya arenaria, 232 nucleotides long. RefSeq lists it as uncharacterized. NCBI's taxonomy places the organism in Eukaryota, Metazoa, Mollusca, Bivalvia, Myida, Myidae. The transcript is spliced from 3 exons. The record is from RefSeq and is a predicted model, not a curated record.
GUUCAGACAAGCAGAGUCGAAACUGUAAAUUACGUUUGGAUUUUUCAUCCUGUGCUUUGCAUAAUCGAUGGCGCUUUUGAGUGGCCUGUCUAUUGUAAGCCUGCUUUGCCUUACACACGGAUAUUACUAUGUCUCACUUCCAAAAUACGUCUCCCCUGGUACGCCCCUGAACGUAGUAGUCCACGUGACCCAGUCUGGAAGCCCUGUAUCCUUUCUGGCAGAAAUUGUAGCU